Pantherophis guttatus is the source of this 567-nucleotide non-coding RNA. The record is from RefSeq and is a predicted model, not a curated record. Lineage: Eukaryota; Metazoa; Chordata; Lepidosauria; Squamata; Colubridae.
ACACUUUCUCUCUUUUUCUUUUAAAGGAGAAAGUCAUCUCACUGGCGACAAGAUGGUGACUUCAUUACAUUCGAAAACCUGACCCUUGUCUGUGCAACUCAAUACUUCCUCAGGAAUAACACUUCUUCGAGUUUAGCUCCAGGGUGGUUUGUGCAGUUAUUUACUUCUGGAGCAAAUCACUCAUCAGACGUUCUGCUUCCACCAUCCAGUCAGAGCUGAAGAAGUUUCUUAGAUGAGAAGAUCAGACGGGCCCUGACCCUUGGCAUCCUCAAACCCUUGAAGAUGUGGCUGUGUCACCAGACAUGGAAACCCAGAUGAUAACUGCAGCAAGAUUUUUGUGUGCUCAGAGAUGGAAAGACUUAGAGUGUCCCACAAUGGAAGAAUGGAUGCCGAAGAUAAUGGAACUGACUGAGAUGGCAAAAUUUACUACCUUUUUUUUUAAAAUGUCUAACUUUGUUUCCACGUGGGAACUGCUUUUUGACUUUUUGUUAGAAACUGAAAUGCUACAUUAAUUUUAAGAUUGACAAAUAGAAGUGUUUAUGAUGAUAGAAAUACAGGUAUUACUGA